CAUGGCUCAGGAUGAACGCUAGCGGCAGGCUUAACACAUGCAAGUCGAGGGGUAACAGAGGAGCUUGCUCUUGCUGACGACCGGCGCACGGGUGCGUAACGCGUAUACAAUCUGCCUUACACUAAGGGAUAGCCCAGAGAAAUUUGGAUUAACACCUUAUAGUUUAUUUUUAUGGCAUCAUUUAAAUAAUAAAGUUUACGGUGUAAGAUGAGUAUGCGUCCCAUUAGUUUGUUGGUAAGGUAACGGCUUACCAAGACUACGAUGGGUAGGGGCCCUGAGAGGGGGAUCCCCCACACUGGUACUGAGACACGGACCAGACUCCUACGGGAGGCAGCAGUGAGGAAUAUUGGACAAUGGAGGAGACUCUGAUCCAGCCAUGCCGCGUGCAGGAAGACGGUCCUAUGGAUUGUAAACUGCUUUUAUACAGGAAGAAUAAGGACUACGUGUAGUCUGGUGACGGUACUGUAAGAAUAAGGACCGGCUAACUCCGUGCCAGCAGCCGCGGUAAUACGGAGGGUCCGAGCGUUAUCCGGAAUUAUUGGGUUUAAAGGGUCCGUAGGCGGGCUGUUAAGUCAGGGGUGAAAGUUUGCAGCUCAACUGUAGAAUUGCCUUUGAUACUGAUGGUCUUGAAUUAUUGUGAAGUGGUUAGAAUAUGUAGUGUAGCGGUGAAAUGCAUAGAUAUUACAUAGAAUACCGAUUGCGAAGGCAGAUCACUAACAAUUGAUUGACGCUGAUGGACGAAAGCGUGGGUAGCGAAC
RNAcentral lists this ribosomal RNA (758 nucleotides) under Cellulophaga sp. MAR_2009_161. RNAcentral describes it as "bacterial SSU rRNA". It matches the Rfam family "Bacterial small subunit ribosomal RNA", at positions 18 to 773 of the family's 1533-position model. Lineage: Bacteria; Pseudomonadati; Bacteroidota; Flavobacteriia; Flavobacteriales; Flavobacteriaceae. The record is from RNAcentral.